AUACGGAGGGGGUUAGCGUUGUUCGGAAUUACUGGGCGUAAAGCGCACGUAGGCGGACUGGAAAGUUGGGGGUGAAAUCCCGGGGCUCAACCCCGGAACUGCCUCCAAAACUUCCAAUCUAGAGAUCGAGAGAGGUGAGUGGAAUUCCAAGUGUAGAGGUGAAAUUCGUAGAUAUUUGGAGGAACACCAGUGGCGAAGGCGGCUCACUGGCUCGAUACUGACGCUGAGGUGCGAAAGCGUGGGGAGCAAACAGGAUUAGAUACCCGUGUAGUCC
Molecule: ribosomal RNA, 274 nt
Filed under: uncultured bacterium
Lineage: Bacteria
Description: partial 16S ribosomal RNA
Rfam family: Bacterial small subunit ribosomal RNA
Source: RNAcentral